GCAUCCUCUGUGCUCCUAUUGCUGCGGUAGGCAAACUGGUGUGGGUCCAGUGUGGAUGGGAGGAAGUCCUUUAGGUGUGCCAGGACCAGUCGCUCAAAGCACUUCAUAACAAUGGGUGUGAGUGCUACCGGGCGGUAGUCGUUCAGGCACAAUGGAGGUGGAUUUAAAGCAUGCUGGCACAGCUGCUUAGGUGAGGGACAGGUUGAAAAUAUCCGUAAAGACCCCAGCGAGCUGCUCUGCACAUGCCUUGAGUACGCGCCCGGUACCUCCUGGUACGCGCCUGGUCCAGCAGCCCUGCGCACGUUGAUCCGGUUCAGUGCAGUGUGGACUUCUGUGGUGUGUGGCGGUCGGGUGGUCAGCUGAGGGUGUGAGCUUGGUGGCGAGCAUAAAAGUCGUUAAGCUCGUUCAGGAAGGAGACUUCUGUGGCCACGGGGGUGGAGGGUCUGGGUUUGUAGUUGCUGAUGGCCUGGAUGCCCUGCCACAUGCGUCGAGGGUCGGAGUUGCAAAAGUGCUCCUGUAACUUUAGCUUGUAGCAGUGCUUGGCCUUUUUGAUGCCCCCCCCCUCAGAUUUGCCCUGGAUGUGCUGUAGGUCUGUGCGUCACCUGAUCUGAAGGCAGUGUUGCGUGCCUUCAACAGGAGGCGCACCUCCUUGUUCAUCCAUGGCUUCUGCUUUUUGGUGAUCUGCUUCUGUCUGUGGUGAUGUUGAUGUAGUCCAGUACAGAGGAGGUGUAGCUAUCUAUGAGAGCCACAGGUGGCCUGAGAGGCAAACAUACUCCAGUCUGUGUUGAAACCUGUCCUGGAGUGUGGAGUCUACCCCCCCGCUGGCCACACUUUGAUGGUCCUCACUGAUGGCUUCACACUAUUGAUGAGAGGUGAGCACUUGGGGGUGAGGAACAAAGAAAGGUGAUCAGAUUGACCCAGGUGGAGGUGGGGGUGGAGGAGGGAGGGUCACGGCGUAAGCCUCAGCCAUGUUUGUGUAGACAUGGUCCAAAGUUUUGUUUCCUCUGGUGCGACAGGAAACAUGCUGGUGAAAUUUGGGGAGCACUGCCUUUAAGUUUGAGUGAUUAAAAUCUCCCGCAACAAUAAAUGCAGCCUGUUGUUUACUGACGGCCGCAUGAAGCUUGGCAUCCGCAUCCGGAAGAACAGAAGCUGCCGCUGUAAUGGUGGAAGUGAACUCCCGUGGCGGAUAAAACGGUCCACAUUAAACCAUGAGAAACUCUAGGAUGAAGGGAUUUUAAACAGCUCUUUAUAUUCACCUGUUCUCUCACCGGAAGACUCAGGGCUGAAGAAACAAAGAAGAGUUGAAGCGCACUCAAUUGUCCCUCCGGGCUCCCUUACAGUCAAGAUGGCGGCGAAAAUAACAAAAACGGGGAUGUGUAUCGAGCCUAACUUCAGUGGAUCGUAACAUAUCGGGUGUGGCGUUAAUGUGCAGAUGUUCCGGUUCAAGAUGAGACCAAACUGGGUGUCAGUUUUUGAGCCACAACAAAAGCCAAAAUGUCGCCUGCAACAGACUAGAUGAUGUGGAGAGGAUCUGCUGCUCUGACUGGACUGAUGACCAAACACCUUCAGUCACGCUUAAAGAGGAACAACGUAAACUUCACAGACAGCAGGAAUAUUCUUCGUAUGAGGAGUAACAAGCAGAGUGGAGGCUGUCUGGGAUCUUCCUCCUCCUCCUCCUCCUCCUCCUCCUCCUCGGCUGCAGGGUUUACUGUUUGUGGUCUGACCGAGUGUGUUUACCUGGCGAGGAAUCUGAAAAGACGACAGGACAGACGGUACACACAGCCGAGGUGAAGGAACAAGAGAAGUCGGACCACCGUGCUCUCUGCACACACACAACUUGUCCUCCCUGUGCGGACGUCAAACAACCCAAAAUAUUUUUCCCUUUUGUAGUCCAGUGUGGCUCAGUGGGUCACACGAGGUACUGAGAAAGAGGGCUGAAACAUCUACGUGAGGUGCAAAAAUCUACUGGAGUAAUGAAAGUAAAGACUAGCUCUUUUAAAACAUGCUCACAAUACAAGUUACUGAUUGAAAGCAACCUGUGAAAUGUUCCUUUAGAUUUUUCACUAAAACAAGAACAGUUUCUAAAAAAAAAACACACACACACACACAAUUUGAAACCUUCCUCGAGCCCCCGUGCAGGUGCACAGCGUGAAAAUCUGGGCCCUGUGCAUGUGUAGUCUCAUUGACCCCCCUCUCCUGAUCCACCCGUCCUCACACACACACAAAUACCUGACUCACUAAACUAACACAUGCAUCUGUAGAGGUGCAGUACUGUUAUAUUUUCUAUGAAGUUUGUGUUAAGAAACAUAGAAGUUCUCUUUAAAAAGCCAGUCAGAUUAUUUCCUCCUCCGCCAAAACUUCAACCUGCGGCUGUAAACUGAUGUGCUUCAGGUGAACAAAUAUUGUCUCUUAGUUUAGACUUGUGCAGCUGCCGGUCUGCUGAGAGUCCCGGGGGAACAGCGGAGACCUGCAGCAUCCACAUACUGUACGCUGGGAAUCAAACCUGCAGCAGGUGCUCACUCACCUGCGAGAAUACUGAGUCUACAUGAAGGAAAUUUCAUUUCCAAACACCCACAAAUUGGUGUUUUCUCUGCUUAAUGAUUACACGUAAAUUCUAAUUUCUUUGCAUGUUUUAUGAAUUAAGCUUUCUUUCUCACUGACCAAAGAUUCUCCUUGCUGAGUCUUUUACCUGCAGACUUCUCACAGGUAAAUCUAUAUGUUUUCUUUCAGUUUCUCUGGUAAAAGUCACAGGUUUAACUGAACUUUCCUCUCAACGAGAGCUGUGUUUUGUUGCACAUUGUGACCACACUGAUACCUACUGGUGAGCUCCUGCAGCUACAGCAGAAUGAAAUCACAACUCUGCAUCUGUUUUUAAAAUAUAAUAAAAAAUUGUGUACGCAGCGUGGGCACAAGAUAAGUAAGCAGUUGGAUUUGCAUCUUUGUCCAGGUGUGAGAUGAUACACCUGUUUGAAGAUCACAAAGGGAGACGUCUGUAAUUUGGUCAUUUCUGCAGAAAAGACGAACACUACAGAGACUAAGGGCUAUAUGCUUUUAUGGCCUGAUCACCUUUUCACAGAAAAUUAGACUAAAUAUUUCUUUCAAGGGAAGUGAUAUUGAAUUUAUUUAAUAGCUUAAUAAAUGUAAUCAUUACACACACA
Siniperca chuatsi (mandarin fish) is the source of this 3158-nucleotide long non-coding RNA. RefSeq lists it as uncharacterized. The record is from RefSeq and is a predicted model, not a curated record. Lineage: Eukaryota; Metazoa; Chordata; Actinopteri; Centrarchiformes; Sinipercidae. The transcript has 5 exons.